UUGAGGUGUAAAAUUUGAUUAUAUAUAGUUUACUUGAGUAUUACGAGCUGUGGAUGUUAUUUGCACAAAGAUCUUAAAACUCAAAAGACUUGGCGGUAUCUUAGGUCCUUCUAGGGGAACCUGUCCUGUAAUCGAUAGUCCACGAUUUAUCUUUCCUUUCCUUGAAAAUAGUCAGCUUGUAUACCGUCGUCGUCAGAUUACCUUUAAGAGUUAAAUAAGUUAUCAGAUGGAGGACUGUUGUUGGCACUUGUUUUAGCCUUAAUAGGCUGGAGCUAGUGUUGGAGGCAAUUUUCUAGAUGUCAGAUCAAGGUGCAGCCUAUGGAGGGGUAGAGAUGGGUUACAAUAAUUAUUUAUUAUUUACGGAUUUCUUAUUGAAAUUAUAAGAGCUAAAGGCGGACUUAGAAGUAAUUAAUAAGAAAAAUAGAAAGUUUCGGUGAAAAUGGCACUAAGAUGUG
Molecule: ribosomal RNA, 455 nt
Filed under: Tegula aureotincta
Lineage: Eukaryota; Metazoa; Mollusca; Gastropoda; Trochida; Tegulidae
Description: partial 12S ribosomal RNA
Source: RNAcentral